AAAAGGCCUGAGGUGGGGUGUGAGCUCAGUGUGCUGGAGGAACAGCCAGGAGGGCAGAGUGGCUGAUGGUUUGAUUUCCCGGAACUAGAGGUUUGGCUUGUACUCUGGGGGAUCCUCAUGGCUGAGACCCAAACCCUGGGCCUGAACCACCCAAGGUAAUGAGAAGCAGGAACAAAGGUCCACUCAUGAAGUUGCUUCUGGAUCGGGAAUUUGGAAACUCUUGGAAUUAGGACCCUCUUGUUCAGUUCAGGCUGAUUGAGACCACCAACCCAUAAACUGGGCCUGCACAGAUGUCUCAUAAGUGACCUGUUAACUUCAAGGGGCUACCCUCAGAUCCUGCUCUGCCAUUUUGUGAACAUGAGUCCUAUGAAGAGGCCUGGAGUCUGACUACGCUUGCACAGAUCAUCAAUUACCUCACUGCUCCUCACCUCCAAUCACCUCUCUCCACAUUUCAGACUACCUUCUCCCCUACUCCAUAAAUAUCCCUGAGUCCCCAUUUCCAGUGAAACGGAUUUGAGACGCGUUCUCUUGUUUCCUCACUGGGCUGCCUUGUGAUUAAG
RNAcentral lists this long non-coding RNA (560 nucleotides) under Equus caballus (horse). RNAcentral's name for it is "lncRNA (ENSECAG00000059295.1)". The record is from RNAcentral. Lineage: Eukaryota; Metazoa; Chordata; Mammalia; Perissodactyla; Equidae.